CAUUAAGUUUCUUAAAGCAAGAAUUGGUCUCUUAAACCAAACUAUAGUAAACUAGUAAUUACUCUUAAUGA
This 71-nucleotide transfer RNA is filed under the name Batracomorphus extentus. RNAcentral describes it as "tRNA-Lys". Lineage: Eukaryota; Metazoa; Arthropoda; Insecta; Hemiptera; Cicadellidae. The record is from RNAcentral.